AGUGAACGCUGGCGGUAGGCCUAACACAUGCAAGUCGAACGGCAGCACAGUAAGAGCUUGCUCUUACGGGUGGCGAGUGGCGGACGGGUGAGGAAUACAUCGGAAUCUACUUUUUCGUGGGGGAUAACGUAGGGAAACUUACGCUAAUACCGCAUACGCCCUACGGGUGAAAGCAGGGGAUCUUCGGACCUUGCGCGAUUGAAUGAGCCGAUGUCGGAUUAGCUAGUUGGCGGGGUAAAGGCCCACCAAGGCGACGAUCCGUAGCUGGUCUGAGAGGAUGAUCAGCCACACUGGAACUGAGACACGGUCCAGACUCCUACGGGAGGCAGCAGUGGGGAAUAUUGGACAAUGGGCGCAAGCCUGAUCCAGCCAUACCGCGUGAGUGAAGAAGGCCUUCGGGUUGUAAAGCCCUUUUGUUGGGAAAGAAAAGCAGCAGGUUAAUACCCCGCUGUUCUGACGGUACCCAAAGAAUAAGCACCGGCUAACUUCGUG
This 492-nucleotide ribosomal RNA is filed under the name uncultured bacterium. Its description in RNAcentral is "partial 16S ribosomal RNA". It matches the Rfam family "Bacterial small subunit ribosomal RNA", at positions 29 to 507 of the family's 1533-position model. The record is from RNAcentral.